GAAAUUAAAAAUUUUAACCGUCGCACAGUGCCGCCUAAUUGGGCAUAAAUCGAAAUAUUCGUUAUCUGCAAUUUGAACUUCUCUGGUAUUUUUGUAAAGACAAUUUAUCCACUAAAAAUAAUUAAACAGACAUUUCCCCAAAAAAUU
This is a long non-coding RNA of Rhagoletis zephyria (snowberry fruit fly), 147 nucleotides long. RefSeq lists it as uncharacterized. NCBI's taxonomy places the organism in Eukaryota, Metazoa, Arthropoda, Insecta, Diptera, Tephritidae. The record is from RefSeq and is a predicted model, not a curated record.